UCCAUGGGGCGUCUCCAGUUGACACUUAGGGCAAAGGUGCAUGAGAGUCGUCUGUCACGUCCCGUCUAAUUCCAGCUAUGAGGGCUUUUAUCGGCUCCACCCGAGAUUGAAAGUGACUGUCCCUUCCCAGCUCUCUCAGAUGGAGGGACAGAGGGAGCAGGCGGCUGACCGGCCAUCUGUGAGGGGUCAGGGCAUAAAUGCCAGUAUUGUUUCCUAAGUAAGAACAGACGGAUUGGAAUGUCAAGGCCAAGCAAGAAGAGAUGAGAUCUGCCCUUUGAGGUCCUCUUCAGGCCAGACCCAGGACAGAUGGCAAACUGUCGCCGCUCGAUAUAGAAUGAGGCCAAGUCGAAGUUCAGGUUGAGAGGCUGUAGUUCAAGUUUCCAUGCAGCUGUCGGGAAAAUGAGCUCCCCUGAUGAACGGCCUCCCCCAGCUACUCAGAUUCCCUUUUCUUUUCUGAAAACAGCGUUUGUGUCUGACGGCUCUUUUGAUCUUGGAAGUGCUGUUCAGUUGCGGGAUUUAAGAUGUUCUGGGCACCCAGACAGCAUGCCUCUUUUAUCAGGGUGCUGAUAUUAGACAUGGGAGACAGGUCAGGGGUGCGGCGGACAGAGCCCAGUCCUGAGCGAGACUCUGAUCUCCGUAGCGCGGUACCUCUGUGAUCUUAGUGUUUCUGAAUCCCAGGCUUCUUCCCUGUGCACUGGGGUCAAACCCCAGACCCAAGAGUGUUUGUGAGAGUGAACGUGAGCAUGUGACUGUCCUGCAUAGUAAGCGCUCAUUUAAUGCUAAUUCCUCCUCCCUUCGGCUUCCCUCCAGAGAGUGAUGUGUUCAUUGCUUUGCUUGCUUAUUUAACAGGCAUUUAUUGAGUGCCUACUGUGUGUCCAGACCUUUCUGGGGUGCUGUGGCUACAGGAACACACCGGUGAACAAGACCCCCCCAUGCGGGAGGCGGGCAAGGGACCAAAUGAAGAUUCUUUCAGUGGUGGCCUCGCUGUGUCUGGGACCUUUUCCUCUGAGGUCUUGAUUUCCCUGCCUACUGAGUCUGAUGCUCUCUCAUAUGCAGGAUUCCUCCAUAACAGAGCCCCUCCCCAGUCCUUCCUGGGAUAGCUUUCCAAUUUUUAAAAAAGUAUUUAUUUAUUUGGCUGCACCGGGUCUCAGUUGUGGGACACCAGAUCUUCGUUGUGGCGUGUGGGAUCUAGUUCCCUGACCAGGGAUUGAACCCCGGCCCCCUGCAUUGGGUUCACAGAGUUGUAGCCACUAAACAGCCAGGGAAGUCCCUCGUUUCUGAUUUUUUAACAGGAGACCUGAUUGCAGUUCUCUUCACCUCCAUCAAGAAGGCUCCUUUUUCCCUUCCUACACCUGUUCCAAAUUUCAAUUACACAAAAUAUCUUUCACGCACGGUUCAGCCAGAUUCCUCAAGAGGAGGAGGGGAAAGGGGUGCUGUAAGUAUUCAUAAUGUGUUUGCAUUAUGGAAUAAUUACACAUAAUUGCUCUGCCUUGUAAAUAAGUAUAAAACAUUUACCAGUCUCUACAGUGGGAGAAGCCGUGGGGCUGCCAUCUCCCACGGAAGUCGCCCCUGGUGGAAACACGCGCCGGCAACUGGCAAUCUUUCCAGCCCACAGGCACAUGUGUCAUUCGCAUCAGCGAGGAAGGAAUGCUGUGCAGAAGAAGCAGCAGAAGGAAAAGUGAGCCCACAUGGGGAGGCCACCAUGCCAAGGACAGAGUUGCUAAUGCUACACGAAACACGUCUGGACCUAGUUGGUCUGGGGGCCAGAAGUCCUAAAUGAAGGUGUCAUCAAGGCCAUGUCACCUGCAACGGCUCUCGGGGAUCAUCUUCCUCAUCUCUUCCAGUGAAUGGGGCUCCUGGGGAUCCUCGGCUUGUGGCAGCACCUCUCCAGUCUCUGUCUGCACGUCACCCAUCUUCCCCAGGCCUCUCUGGGCCUUCAGUCUCCUGAUUUCCUGUUAUAAGGACACCAGUCAUGGAAGUAGUGCCCACCCUAACUGCAGGAUGCUCUUGUAUGGAGAUUCUCAACAUAAUUCCAUCUGUGAAAGCUCCUAACUCAUUUUUAGUAAUU
Molecule: long non-coding RNA, 2068 nt
Organism: Bubalus bubalis (water buffalo)
Lineage: Eukaryota; Metazoa; Chordata; Mammalia; Artiodactyla; Bovidae
Exons: 3
Source: RefSeq, a predicted model, not a curated record